ACAAGCGGUGGAGUAUGUGGUUUAAUUCGAUGCAACGCGAAGAACCUUACCUGGUCUUGACAUCCCGGAGACCCUUAGGAACUAGGGGUGCUUCCAUCUGGAAGAAUCUGGAGACAGGUGCUGCAUGGCUGUCGUCAGCUCGUGUCGUGAGAUGUUGGGUUAAGUCCCGCAACGAGCGCAACCCUUGCCUUUAGUUGCCAGCAGUUCGGCUGGGCACUCUAAAGGGACUGCCGGUGUUAAACCGGAGGAAGGUGGGGAUGACGUCAAGUCCUCAUGGCCUUUAUGACCAGGGCUACACACGUACUACAAUGGCCGAUACAAAGGGCAGCGACACUGCGAGGUGAAGCCAAUCCCGUAAAUCGGUCUCAGUCCGGAUUGGAGUCUGCAACUCGACUCCAUGAAGUUGGAAUCGCUAGUAAUCGUGGAUCAGCAUGCCACGGUGAAUACGUUCCCGGGCCUU
This 460-nucleotide ribosomal RNA is filed under the name uncultured Desulfobulbus sp. RNAcentral's name for it is "bacterial SSU rRNA". It matches the Rfam family "Bacterial small subunit ribosomal RNA", at positions 925 to 1382 of the family's 1533-position model. Lineage: Bacteria; Pseudomonadati; Thermodesulfobacteriota; Desulfobulbia; Desulfobulbales; Desulfobulbaceae. The record is from RNAcentral.